UGACAUGAACACAGGUGCUCGGAUAGCUUU
Molecule: non-coding RNA, 30 nt
Filed under: Mus musculus (house mouse)
Lineage: Eukaryota; Metazoa; Chordata; Mammalia; Rodentia; Muridae
Source: RNAcentral